UUUUUUUUUUUGGUAGUGUUACAGUUUUAUACCUUUGUUAUAUUUUUGAGACCGAAAGAAAAAAAUUCUUGUGUGCUGUUAUUGGUUUCAAUCCAAGUGCACAACAGAUCAAAAACACGAGGGAGUGGAUAGAUAUGACAAGAAAGUAGAAUACGAGUGCAAUAUCUGCAAAACUGUUUGCAUUGUACACUCCAGAUUGCUUUGGCGUGUGUAUCAGGUCACGUUUAUGUAUCCAUGCUGUUUGUGUACACAGAUCACCGUUUUUAAUUAUCAUAGACUGGAAGCGGACGGCACUUAAAGAGUAUAACGUGGCAUGCCGUGCUACUUAAAUAACCGUUGCGUGGCUUAUAUCUGGGACUCAGACGGAAGGCAUCACCUUUCAUCAAAACACGUCCUUGUUUUCUUUUAUUUCCAAACAAAACCUUUUCAGUGCUGUGGAUUUUACAGUUAAUACGUUGUUGAAAGACGAAUGAGACGUUAUCUUCACCGUGAUAACACAGCACUCUACAGCUUGCUAGUGAAGACUGACACAAAGUUGCUUCUUUAACACAGAGAGCUUUGUUAUCAUUUUUCUUGCAAGGGACGUCUCUGUUUUCCCCUCAACCUUCUGUUUUAUUGCUGAAGGAUGUUUCAUGCCUUUUACCACAUACAGUGGCACAGCAAGACUAGCAGAAAGAGAAGUCUUGAUUGUCAACGCUCAAGGAGACGAGCAGGAGGAAGUGCAUGGACACAAUGCCACCCUCAUGUGCAUGGAGAGCUCCUCUUUACAAGUGGUUUCCUGGCUGUUCUGAGCAAUUGCUUUCUGGCCUUUUGUGCCUCUCAGAUGAUAAGACAAAGCUGAAAAAGCGACCUGGAGCUCAUGCAGUAGCACUAUUCUCCAGAUGGCUUUCCACAGCAUCGUCUUCCGUAACACACCAGCGAGCCACGAGACUGAGACAGAAAUUCCAAUGUGGGGAGGGUGUGAGUCAUGAGAUGUCACCUUCAGGCUUUGUCAGGACUGUGGAAAACUUUGCCAGAACUGGGGAACAUACAAACAAAUGAUGGCAACCUUCUCUGCCAAGCAGUGAGAUACUAACCAUUAGGAAGACACUGCUGCAGAGACUGAAACCAAACCCAUUUAUUCCUUGUUCUCAAGUCGUCUUGGGUUGGAAGCUGCCAAAAAAUUCUCUCCUGGAUAAAUAACUGUGAUGUCCCCAUCAAGCAUAUGUUGUCAGUGAGUUGGAUUUCUUCAUUCAAAUUGUUGAAAAUCUGUUCUGCUUGGAAGUUUCUCUCGCAGAGGAAUUAUUCAGCACCACAAAAGGAGUGUGCAGGGAUCCCAUCAAAGUUUAAAUGCUUUGAACUCACUCCUAGGCACAAGAAGACUUUACUACUUGAGAUUUUGUUUGGACAUAAAUGAGUUUUUGUCAUAGAUUGGGCAUCUUCUAACAUGGUCCCUCCAUAACAAAAUUUCUCAUCAUUCUGGAAGAAGAUUUGAGUAUUUGUUCUUUUGUUUGCAUUCAUCUUUAUUUAUUUUGUAUUCUUGAGAUGUGUUGCAUCUCUGGAGUUUGUAUUUCUACUUUUAGCGUAAAAAUGUUGUACAUAACAAGUCUAGAAUGCAUCUGAAGAGUAGUCUAAUUUUUCAAGUGACUUUGACUUGAACAUUUUUAUGUUUAUGUUUAUAUUGCUAUUUCAAAAAUGUGCAUUACCUGUAUUAUUUAUGCCUUUUCCCCAUCUAUAACUCAAUAAAAUUAUGUCCUCAUUCUGCAGAACCAUAUCAUGUGUGCAUAAGUGAUAAGUUUUUGAAUAAUAAUGACUGAUAAUUGCAAAUGGGUUAAUCUAUAUCUAUAUCUAACCUACAUAUAUCUGUCACAGCCUGAAAUUCUUCUGAUGUAGGAUUUGAGAUGGUGGAAAAAUUACUAGUAAGCGGUAAGCUGAGCUCAGGAAUAAUUCUUCAUAAGGCUAUUUGGACUUAAGAAGUAGAUUUUUUUCUUCCCUAAAGGUGUAUGCUCUUCAUUUCAGUUCUCAGCAUGGCUGAGUUUAGAACUCAGCCAUGUGAGUCAGUGGAGUGUUACCCGUUUCAUCAGGCUGCACAUGUCUUUUAUGUCACGACAGCCCUGGGAUAAAUAAAAGACUGAAGUAUGUCCUUUGUUGCAGAAUAUCACAUUUCUAAGGAGUGCUAGUUUAACCUUCCGGAGUUCCCAAUCACUGUAUGAUUAAGAAGGAAUAUAGCCCAGGAGAUCUGCCACUGGCCUGGACCAGCAGUGGCUUGGGUGACGUUGAACGGCCGAGCAGGAGUUUUCUUUGUGAGAGCAGGUAUAUUAGAUGCGUUCCAAACAUAUGGCUCUCAUUGGAAGUUAACAAAUACUAAUUUGUGUACAGAAAAUGUUCACUGACAGAAGAAACUUGAGGCCAUUGUACAAUAGUAGCUUUUUACUGCUGUAACAUUCCUUUGGGUCGCCAAAGUUUAGUGAAGUCAAUGGGAAAUUUUCUAUCAGGUGCAAUGGGUUGGCAACAUAUCCUUACUUCAGGUAAGACUCCAUCAAAUACAGUUAUUCACAAAACAUUCAAAGAGGGAAAGACAGUUCUCAUCCUUUUCUGUUUAAUGCUGUAUGCCAAGCCUGUGUUCAGGAGUUUAAAUAAUAAAUUGAAAAGUUCCCCAUUUCAAUAGAAUGAACCAAUUCAGUCUGCUACUCUGUAGGAUAUUUGUCACAACGAGAACAAUAGGACCUCCAGUGGGUUGUCUGAGGACUGAGAGAUGGCAGUAGUCAUGAUGACAGGUGACUAGUUGUUUUGCUAAUUAUCAGACCUAGCAUAAAGGACACAGCCAGCAGAAAGAUGAACCAAUAACCAAACUGUAUUUGACACAAA
Molecule: long non-coding RNA, 2847 nt
Organism: Athene cunicularia (burrowing owl)
Lineage: Eukaryota; Metazoa; Chordata; Aves; Strigiformes; Strigidae
Exons: 5
Source: RefSeq, a predicted model, not a curated record